RNAcentral lists this unclassified non-coding RNA (20 nucleotides) under Chlamydomonas reinhardtii. Its description in RNAcentral is "small RNA Cre_2329". The record is from RNAcentral. Lineage: Eukaryota; Viridiplantae; Chlorophyta; Chlorophyceae; Chlamydomonadales; Chlamydomonadaceae.
UAGGGCUGGGAUGAAAUACG